CCCGGCGACGAUGGAGUCUCUCUCCGACCGACCUCCCUCAGUCCUUAGUCACGACGAUUGGCAAACUGUUUUUUGUUGCUUCUCACGACGACGACGAUCGAGUCACUCACGACGACCGAGUCUCUCUCCGUCUUCCCACCAGACUCGCUUCUCUCGACUCUCUAUCUUUUCUCGACAGAUGUCAACUUCAAGUGUUAGCGGCAAUACCUCAGAUCAAUUGACAUAUUGCAACAAAAAUUGUCCUAAAUGUCG
Camellia sinensis is the source of this 252-nucleotide non-coding RNA. NCBI's taxonomy places the organism in Eukaryota, Viridiplantae, Streptophyta, Magnoliopsida, Ericales, Theaceae. The record is from RefSeq and is a predicted model, not a curated record.